This 1263-nucleotide ribosomal RNA is filed under the name metagenome. Its description in RNAcentral is "SSU rRNA". It matches the Rfam family "Eukaryotic small subunit ribosomal RNA", at positions 526 to 1783 of the family's 1831-position model. The record is from RNAcentral.
UAAACGGACCAUCGAGUAUCCAUUGGAGGGCAAGUCUGGUGCCAGCAGCUGCGGUAAUACCAGCUCCAAUAGCGUAUAUUAAAGUUGUUGCAGUUAAAAAGCUCGUAGUUGGACUUGUGUGCGCUGUCCGCGGGUGGCCUGCGCCCAAAAGGGCGUUUCGGUUCGGCCCCGGUGGCGCCUUGAAAUCUGCAGCUGGGGGGACGUUGGCCUUAACUGGUCGGCGACCGCACGCCGGCUGCUCGGUUACUGUGAGAAAAUUAGAGUGUUCAAGGCAGGCAUUGGGUGCAAUUGAAUACAUUAGCAUGGAAUAAUAAAAUAUGGCUCCUGCCGUAUUUUGUUGGUUUUGACUGGUGGGAGUAAUGAUUGAUAGGGACGGUUGGGGGUGCUAGUAUUGAGCGGCCAGAGGUGAAAUUCAUGGAUUCGCUCAAGACUAACUUAUGCGAAAGCAUUCACCAAGGACGUCCUCUUUAAUCAAGAACGAAAGUUGGGGGAUCGAAGACGAUCAGAUACCGUCGUAGUCUCAACCAUAAACUAUGUCGACUUGGGAUCGGCGGUAGUUUUUUCAUUAAGACACUGUCGGGACCACGGGAGAAAUCAAAGUGUCUGGACUCUGGGGGAAGUAUGGUCGCAAGGCUGAAACUUGAAGGAAUUGACGGAAGGGCACCACCAGGAGUGGAGCCUGCGGCUUAAUUUGACCCAACACGGGAGACUUACCAGGUCCAGAGAUGUAGAGGAUUGACAGAUUGAAGCUCUUUCUUGAUCACUUCGGUGGUGGUGCAUGGCCGUUCUUAGUUGGUGGAGUGAUUUGUCUGGUUAAUUCCGUUAACGAACGAGACCUCAGCCUGCUAGUGUAGUCGGCUGGAUUGCCUUUGGCGAUCCGUGAUUUCGACUUCUUAGAGGGACAAUCGACGCGCAGUCGAUGGAAGUUUGAGGCAAUAACAGGUCUGUGAUGCCCUUAGAUGUUCUGGGCCGCACGCGCGCUACACUGCUGGGCUCAGCGAGUUUUACUUGGCCGAGAGGCCCGGUUAAUCUUGUGAAAUCCCAGCGUGCUUGGGCUCGCCUCCUGCAACUGGAGGCGCCAACGAGGAAUUCCUAGUAGACGCAGGUCAUCAACCUGCAUCGAUUACGUCCCUGCCCUUUGUACACACCGCCCGUCGUUCCAUAAGAGUGAGGCAUCCGGUGAAUUCUCGGGAGAGCCUGGGCGUGGCCAGCAAUGGUCUGCUCGGGUUUGAACUUGCAUAAACUUGGUGCCUAUGAUUAGGG